GGAAGCAUAGUUUAAUGGUAAAACAGCGGGCUUAUACCCCGUAGCUACAGAUAAUAGGCUGAUUCCGGUUCGACCCCGGAUGCUUCCACCA
RNAcentral lists this transfer RNA (91 nucleotides) under Flavonifractor sp. An82. RNAcentral describes it as "tRNA-Ile". It matches the Rfam family "tRNA". From Rfam's summary of the family: Transfer RNA (tRNA) molecules are approximately 80 nucleotides in length. Their secondary structure includes four short double-helical elements and three loops (D, anti-codon, and T loops). Further hydrogen bonds mediate the characteristic L-shaped molecular structure. tRNAs have two regions of fundamental functional importance: the anti-codon, which is responsible for specific mRNA codon recognition, and the 3' end, to which the tRNAs corresponding amino acid is attached (by aminoacyl-tRNA synthetases). tRNAs cope with the degeneracy of the genetic code in two manners: having more than one tRNA (with a specific anti-codon) for a particular amino acid; and 'wobble' base-pairing, i.e. permitting non-standard base-pairing at the 3rd anti-codon position. Lineage: Bacteria; Bacillati; Bacillota; Clostridia; Eubacteriales; Oscillospiraceae. The record is from RNAcentral.